Molecule: non-coding RNA, 28 nt
Filed under: Rattus norvegicus (Norway rat)
Lineage: Eukaryota; Metazoa; Chordata; Mammalia; Rodentia; Muridae
Source: RNAcentral
UAGUUCCCACAAUAAACGAUUAGCAAAU